CCAACUAGAAAACCGACACGCAAAAGACGAUGGCCAACUAGAAAACCGACACGCAAAAGACGAACUAGA
Molecule: non-coding RNA, 69 nt
Filed under: Mucochytrium quahogii
Lineage: Eukaryota; Bigyra; Thraustochytrida; Thraustochytriidae
Source: RNAcentral